AUGGAUCUAAACCCACAAGUCUUGUGUUGGAACGCGCGAGGAUUGAAUGACCCGGUGAAGAAGGCGGUUAGAGAAUUUGUAUCGUCAGUUAGAGUUAACUUAGUGUGGCUCCAAGAGACCAAACUGGAUGUAAUUGACAAUUUUUGUGUGAUGCAAUGCCUAGGCCCGUCGUUUGACGGCUUCACGUACUUGCCUUCGGUUGACACUAGAGGGGGGGUCCUUCUUGCUUGGGACUCAACCAUCAUGGAGAUUGAUAGCAUUCAUCUAGAUAGUAACUUCCUCACAGGUUUGGUGCAUAACAAAGAUGGGGCCUCAUGGUGGAUUUCGGUGGUUUAUGGACCACAAGGAGAUGAUCUCAAAACUCUGUUUCUGGAAGAAUUGCGAGCUAGAAGAGUUGGCUGCCCAGGCCCUUGGAUGGUUCUCGGCGACUUUAACAUGAUCCUUCAGGUGUCGGAGAAGAACAAUACUAACCUGAACAGGGCUAUGAUGCGAAAGUUCUGGGAUUUCGUGGACACACAUGAGCUCAAAGAGUUGUACAUGCACGGCAGAAAUUUCACCUAG
RNAcentral lists this ribosomal RNA (561 nucleotides) under Triticum aestivum (bread wheat). Its description in RNAcentral is "partial small subunit ribosomal RNA". Lineage: Eukaryota; Viridiplantae; Streptophyta; Magnoliopsida; Poales; Poaceae. The record is from RNAcentral.